Molecule: ribosomal RNA, 253 nt
Filed under: uncultured bacterium
Lineage: Bacteria
Description: partial 16S ribosomal RNA
Rfam family: Bacterial small subunit ribosomal RNA
Source: RNAcentral
UACGAAGGGGGCGAGCGUUGUUCGGAAUUACUGGGCGUAAAGGGCGCGCAGGCGGCUCUGAAAGUCAGAUGUGAAAGCCCCGGGCUUAACCUGGGAACUGCCUUUGUGACUGCAUAGCUAGAGUACGGUAGAGGGGGAUGGAAUUCCGCGUGUAGCAGUGAAAUGCGUAGAUAUGCGGAGGAACACCGAUGGCGAAGGCAAUCCCCUGGACCUGUACUGACGCUGAGGAGCGAAAGCGUGGGGAGCAAACAGG